GCAAGUAGUUUUUGUUCUAUCUGUCAUUUGACUUUGAUUUUUGUCUGAUUCUGUAGACAGAAUUCACUUUUUUAGCAUGGUAACAGGUAAAUACAAACAUUUAAAUUCCCAAGUAGCUCAUUUUUUUUAAAGCUCCAUUUGUUAAAUAAUCCAUUCCCUGUAGUUUGCUGAUGCAUUAUUUAUCAAGUAGUAAAUGCAUGCAUGUCUCACUGUCUGUUUCUGGGCUAUUUAUUCUGCUUCAUUGAUCUCUGGAUCUUUUAAAAGUAGAUUAUCACUAAUUGAUAUAAAGACUGGUAGUUUCAUCAAGUCUGUGGAUACUUGUCUUGGAUACACUUCAGUUCUACUGACUUCUUAACAAAAUACUUUCACAGAGUGCUUGUGCCAGUUCACUACACAAUGAACACCAAGAAGAAGAAAAUGUAUUAAUAAUGAAGAGACCAGAUAAAAUCUUUUUUCUUUUCAACUGUGGCAGGCAUUCUCAGGUAGUGUCUUGCACCCAUUUAUUCUUACCAAUUUCAAAAUCCACUGUGAUGUAAGAGCAGUUUGGAUUUAGAACACAGAUGGCACUAUUCAGUUGGAGACUGCUUUUAUAAAUCAAGAUUUAAUCAGAAAGCCUUCUACCAAAAAUCUAUCAGGCCCAGGGUAGAAGACUAGAACCUCAGGAAAGAAGUCGGGAUUUUAAUGCUUUCUCCAACUAACUGUGUAAUUUUCAGCAACAUUUCUAAGUAAUUCUUUUUUUUUCUUUUUUUUUCUAAGUAACUCUAAAAUUAUGAAUUUUGAGGGAAUGGUAUCAAGUUCAAAAAUACAGGUGCCAUUUUAUUUUUGUCAAUGGCCCUAAUUCAAGGUCAUUUUAGUGCUAUGUUGGAACCAAAAUCUUCCUAUGCUGCUAUUUGUUCUCAUUUAUAUUUGCCCACACUAGAAAUCUGGAGACUUAAUCCAGGAAAAGAUUUACACUAUAUUUGCCAAGGCUUACAAAUAGGUAAGGUAUCUAUGACGAUGGCCAUACUACACAGUUAAGGUACAUGGUCUCUGGAAACCAAUAAUGACCUUAUAUGCUUCCUUUCUUGGGUACCUGGAGAACAUUUUCAAUAGCUGGAUAACAUUUAUACAAGAGCCAAGUUAAUAAAUGAUAAAAGAAAUUGCUGGAUUUUGUUUAUAUAGGUCAAGUAGCUAAGUCGUAAACCCAGAAAGCAGGAAGUGUUUAUUGAGAACAUAUUAUAUAAGCAAUAGUCCUUUAAUAGUGAGUCUUCUGAAAAUCUGAUGAACUGAGAACCUAUCCAGAAACAUCAAUUUGUGUCUGCCAUGUCUUCAACAAACACUAAUACCUGGGCUUACUAGGAAGUCUGUCUGAAUUACUGGGUGGCAUGAAAUUAGCCUGCCAUCUCAGCGUACAUGACCUUGGGUCUUGAGGACAUGGCAUCACAAAUUCCUUGAUAAUGGAGGACUGUGCAUUUACCAUGUGCUGUUUGAAAAUAAACCUUGGAUUAAUUCAGACCAAAAUUCUGUGAUGAGGUUCCUUGAAUCUGGUGCCUAAAUUCCAAAAUCCAUCCAAUCUUACUGUUUUGUAUUCAAGAUCAAUUUGUUAACUCGUUGUGCCUCUGACUAUGCAUAUCAUAUGUAGGUAUAUAUAUGAAAUUUUAUGUAGUAUUUUCCAUUUAAAAAUUUAGCAAUGCACCAAAAAUGGAAAUCAUCCAAAAUCCCACUUCAAAGAGAUAAGAGGGUAAGGAAGUGGAAGAGCAAUACACAAAUCUGAAUGUAUCCGAAUCUGAAGCCCAUGCCUUUCCAUCAUUGCAUGCUAGUAUCACUUCCAUUUCUGUGGGAGAUUGAGUUGGUCUGUAUCCCAGGAAUGUUGAUAAUUUUAGUGCCUCAAAUUAAUAUCCCUUAAAUAUUCAUUCAGCAGUUAUAUAGUGUAAAUAAGACAAUUUGAUUUGUUUUUGGUUAACACAACAUAUAUGUUGAAACAAAUUCACUUACUGAUUCACUUCCAAUAAUUAAUGGAAAGUCAACAUUGUUUAAAAAUCUAGCAAAACAUUUUCUACCUCUCAGUGUUUCCUUCUUUAUUUUGGGGUCAUUUUGUUAUUUUCUGACUAUACUACUUCUUAAGAGACGAAAGGCUUUAACUAAACAUGUCCUAAAUUAUUACUUGCUCCCAGUAAAAGCAUCACUCAAUGUACUAAUGUGUUUCAGAUUCUCAGCAGGAUCGAACUUUAUGUGCACAUGACAAAGAUAUGGAACAGAGAUGGGUACUUGCCGGAGAAAAAGGACAAGAUAUGUCCUUUAGUGUUGAAACUUGAGUUCCAAUUAAGAAGAUCACAUGAACAUCCAUGGAAAGUCUGGUUGUGGAAAUCAGGGUCAUGGUGAGAGUAGAGUCAAGGAGAUGUGUCCUGAGAACCAAACCUGCCUAUGGCACAGCCCAGCAUAAAGCCCCUGGUCUGUGCAAAUAUGGGGUCCAGAACCAUAAAUUCCAACGGAAAAUGCUUCACUAAGCCACCCUAAUAACAUCAGAAGCUAUGGAGAGAGAAUUACACGGUCGAAGGUGCCCAAUAUAAUAUUAUUCAGCAACAGGUGAGAUACAGCUCUUCAAUCUCUGUUCCUCUUGAGUUGAAUCUUAUGCUCCAAUAAAACUGAAUGACACUUGGUUCCUUGAAAAUACUAGUAGACUCACAUCUCUAUGACCUUCAUAACAUUUCCUUUUCCACAAUUCAUUGAUUUGAAAAACCAUGUUCCAUGUCCAUUAUUGACCAGGUCCUCCUUUAUUGCCAGAGACAUAAACCCCAAUAGAAGAGGAUUCCCACUAUUAUAACAGGGAGUAAAAAGCACAAGUGACGCAAGUCUGACAAUGACCAGCAUGCUCUGCGAGCCCAUAUGAGGAGAACCUAAUUGAAACCCCAUGCUUAGGGAGGUGGGGAAGGCAUGUGGAGAGAGAUAAUCCAUGGGUUUAUUUGCCUGGCAAACGCACAAGUUUCCAGAUUUAGCUCAUGUUUGAUUUCUCUAUAAAAAUAUUUGUCCCUUCUUCUCUAUUCUCCAUCCCCUCUUCUGAGCCAAACAAGUACAUUAUAAUAAUUAUUUCUUAACCACUCAUAAGUGUUACAUAGCACAGAGUCCUUAUAAGAGAGUAUGAAAUACUGGGAAUUGGUUUCCUUACUUGCUGUGACAAAGUACCACCAACUUAAUGGCUUAAAACAGCAUGCAUUUGUUCUCUUACAGUCCUAAAGGUCAGGUGUGCAAAAUGAAUAUUUUAGGACUGAAGCAAGAUGUCAGCAGGUCUGCCUUUCUUUGAGAGGUUCUAGAAGGGAAGAAUCUGUCUCCUCACCUCUCCUAGCUUCCUAUAAGAUAUCUGUAUCCCUUAAUCCAUGGCCUUAUCCUCCACCAUUAGAUUGUGUCACUCCAACCUCAGCUGCCAUUGCCACAUGUCCUUUUUCUGGCUUGAACCCUCUGCCUCCUUCUUAUGAGGACCCUUGUGAUUACCUCAGGCCAAGCCAGAUAAUCCAGCACAAUGGCUCCAUCUCAAGAUCCUUACCUUAAUCACACUUGCAAAGUCCUUUUUGCUAUGUGAGGUUACAUUUUCACAGAUUUAGGGGAGCAGGGUGUAGAUAUCUUUGAGGGAAGGGCUAUUGUUCUGGGCAGCUGAGGCUAUGUUUUAUUUACUUCUGAAAUCACAAGUAGAUAUUGCUUGCUAAACAAAUAAUAGUCACUGAAUUUACAUCUGUUGUAUGUACUGGGGGUUUAGAGAUGUGGAAUUAGCAAGACAAAUUAGGAAGAUAUUUCUCUGCCUGUGUUCCUCACCCAAUCUAAAAUGACUGCAUCUAUCUCAGAGGCAAAAUCUAUCUUGAUUUCUAAAGAUAUUAUUGCAUGGUUUUCUAGCUUCAUUAUUACUCUUGAAAACAUAGUUAUCAGGUCAGCAAUACAGCAGAAUAGAUGUUUUCUACCAAUAUCCCUACCACAAAACAUUGAUUUUGACAGUCAUUAAUGGACAAGAGUAGCUUUGUGGGAGUCCGAGAGUUCAGUGGAUAAGUUUCAGCACACAGUUGUACCAAAAAAAUCUAAGAAUAAAUUCUUUGAAGAGGAUGAGAAGAACAGUUUCACUUUACCCACAUCACCUCUCUCCCAAAGCAGCACAGCUCAGUGCCAAGAAAGUAUACUUGAGCCUUUGAUUUCUCUCAUGGGGAAAGUGAAAGCAUAGGGAGUGAGCGCCCAGCUUCCCCAGACCAGCCAAGUGGGACGCUGUUCAGAAGGCCCACUUCUGUCUUGCUCAAUUCUGAAGAGGUGACUGAUGUGGCUGAGGGAUUGGGAGAGGCUGGCAGCAUGACAACCAGGGCUCAGAACUCAUUAAAGGGACAUGGAUCCUACUACUUAACAUACUCCAUUAGGAAGCCCACCCAUUUGCCCCUUGGGAUGCUUCUUUUACAGACCCAUCAACUGACUCACCCACUUCAAUGUGCCACUUGUCUCAUCAACCCUUAGUAGCUGGUACCCUGCACAUGCCUCCAUGGACAAUGAAUGGGAGCCUUUGCAGAAGGCAUGCAAGUACAUGCAGAAAGCUGACCAACUCUAGGAUUGGAAGAAGACACACAAAUAGGCUGAAAGUGAAGGGAUGGAAAUAGAUAUUCCAUGCCAAUGGAAACCAAAAGAGAGCAACAGUAGUCAUACUUAUAGUAGACAAAACAGACUUUAAAUAAAGAAUUAUAUCAAGAGACAAUGAAGGUCAUUAUAUAAUAAGGGGGCCAAAUGAUCAAGAGAAUAUAACUAUUGUAAAUAUAUAUGCACCCAAUUUUGGAGAACCUCAAUUUAUAAAGCACUUAUUAAUAGAUCCAAAGGGAGAAACAGCAAUACAAUAAUAAUAGAAGAUUUCAAUGCCCCAUUUAAAAUAAUGGAUAGAUCAUUCAGAUGGAAGAUCAAUAAGGAAACAUUGAACUGGAAUUACACUUUAGACCAAAUGGACCUCCCAAAUGUAAAUGCAACACUCCAUCCAACUGCAGCAGAAUACACAUUCUUCUAAAGUGCACAUGGGACAUUCUUCAGGAUAGAUCACCUGAUAAGUCACAAAACAAGUAUUAACAAAUUUAGGAAGAUUGAAAUUAUAUCAAUUCACUUUUCUGGCCACAGUGGUAUAUAUAAAACCAGAAAUCAAUUAGCAGGAGAAAAUCGGAAAAUUCACAACUAUGUGGAAAUUAAACAACAUGCUCUUGAACAACCAACGGAUCAAAGAAGUAAAAAAAGAAAUAGAAAAAAGAAUCUUAGAACAUUAUAGUGGAGGCACAACAUAUCAAAACUUGUGAGAUAGAUAUAGCAAAAAUAGUUCUAUCAGGAAAGUUCAUAGUGAUAAGCACCUAAGUUAAGAAAACAGUAAGACAUCAAAUUAAAAUAACUAUACAUAUCAAGAAAUUAGAAAAAGAAGAGCAAACCAAACCAAAAGUUAUCAGAAGAAAGGAAACAACAAAUACCAAAGUAGGAAAAUGCAAAUGAAAACCACAAUGAGAUUUCAUUUCAUACUUGUUAGGAUAACUAUUACCAAAAGGUCAAAAGAUAACAAGUAUUAGUAAGGAGGUAGAGAAAAGGAUACACACUUGUACAUCAUUGGUGGGAACAUAAAUCAGUAUAUCCAUUAUGGAAGCUCUUCAAAAAAUUGAAAACAGAACUACUACAUUAUCCAGGAAUCCCACUUUUGGAUAUAUAUUCAAAGAAAGUAAAAUCAGUGUAUCAAAGAGCUGCACUUCCAUGUUCAUUGCUGCAUUAUUCACAAUAACUAAUAAUUAUUCCAGUAUGUGGAAAAAAACCAAGUGUCCAUUAACUGAUGAAUAGAUAAAGAAAAUGUGGUACACACACACCCAAAUUAAACAUUACUCAGUUUUAAAAAGAAAGAAGGGGGGAUCCCUGGGUG
Canis lupus familiaris (dog) is the source of this 5881-nucleotide long non-coding RNA. RefSeq lists it as uncharacterized. The transcript is spliced from 4 exons. NCBI's taxonomy places the organism in Eukaryota, Metazoa, Chordata, Mammalia, Carnivora, Canidae. The record is from RefSeq and is a predicted model, not a curated record.